GAACUCAGGUCUGACAUUUCCUAUGUUCUUGCCAGGAUCCCUCAGCUGAACAAUUGAACAGAGAAGAGGUGGGGGCUUCCAGUGACCCAGGGACUGUUUGGACCAGGCCACAGAUCUAAGAGACCUUCUCACACUGCAAACCUCUUUUCCUGUGUGCCACCGGGGAUGUGUACCUGGGGCUUGAGCCCCUGCCUGAGCUCUGGAUCAGAGAGAGCCUGCUCCUGCACCUUGUCUGAAAUGGAACAGGGGUGACAGAUGAGCAGAGGAUCAAUAGCCAUCUGUCCAGGCUCCACUGACAAGCUAAUCUUUUCAGUAAACAUUUCAUUAGCUCCUGCCAGUCUGCUGCACCUGCUGACAGGAGAGGCCAAACGGAGUAGGGGGAGGGGAACCUCCGCUUUAUGGUAGGGCUCCAAUGGCAGCAGGGGUCUCCUGGCCCCUGAGAGCUAGUUAAGCUCAGCUGGAAUACCCCUGCCACGCACUGGAGGAAUCCGGAUCAUCCCCAAGAUUUUUGUAUUUGAAGGGACUUUUAAAAUCAUUUAACCCAAGCUCUGUACUUUAAAAAGAGAGAGCGCAGUCCUCAAAAGUGACUUGCAGAAAAUCAAAGUAGCCACUUGCAGAGACAUCAGUGGAAAUCAGAC
This 638-nucleotide long non-coding RNA is filed under the name Homo sapiens (human). Its description in RNAcentral is "HSALNT0152978". The record is from RNAcentral. Lineage: Eukaryota; Metazoa; Chordata; Mammalia; Primates; Hominidae.